This 253-nucleotide ribosomal RNA is filed under the name uncultured bacterium. Its description in RNAcentral is "partial 16S ribosomal RNA". It matches the Rfam family "Bacterial small subunit ribosomal RNA", at positions 524 to 776 of the family's 1533-position model. The record is from RNAcentral.
UACGUAGGGGGCAAGCGUUGUCCGGAUUCAUUGGGCGUAAAGCGCGUGUAGGCGGCCAGGUAGGUCCUACGUGAAAACUGGAGGCUCAACCUCCAGCUGUCGUUGGAAACCAUCUGGCUAGAGUCCGGAAGAGGAGAGUGGAAUUCCUGGUGUAGCGGUGAAAUGCGCAGAUAUCAGGAAGAACACCAAUGGCGAAGGCAGCUCUCUGGGACGGUACUGACGCUGAGACGCGAAAGCGUGGGGAGCGAACAGG